Molecule: ribosomal RNA, 95 nt
Filed under: Oxyloma sp. MMC-2020
Lineage: Eukaryota; Metazoa; Mollusca; Gastropoda; Stylommatophora; Succineidae
Description: partial 5.8S ribosomal RNA
Rfam family: 5.8S ribosomal RNA
About the family: 5.8S ribosomal RNA (5.8S rRNA) is a component of the large subunit of the eukaryotic ribosome. It is transcribed by RNA polymerase I as part of the 45S precursor that also contains 18S and 28S rRNA.
Source: RNAcentral
AAAUUAUGUGAAUUGCAGAACACAUUGAACAUCGACACCUUGAACGCACAUGGCGGCCUCGGGUCCAUCCCGGGGCCACGCCCGUCUGAGGGUCG